This is a long non-coding RNA of Oncorhynchus keta (chum salmon), 1222 nucleotides long. RefSeq lists it as uncharacterized. The record is from RefSeq and is a predicted model, not a curated record. The transcript is spliced from 3 exons. NCBI's taxonomy places the organism in Eukaryota, Metazoa, Chordata, Actinopteri, Salmoniformes, Salmonidae.
GGGUGAGCAGGUGGGUCUGGGUAGGGUGAUGUAGUUGAUGGAAGGGGGUGUGAGCAGGUGGGUCUAGACAGGGUGAUGUAGUUGAUGGAGGGGGGGUGUGAGCAGGUGGGUCUAGACAGGGUGAUGUAGUUGAUGGAGGGGGGGUGAGCAGGUGGGUCUAGACAGGGUGAUGUAGUUGAUGAGGGGGGGUGAGCAGGUGGGUCUAGAUAGGGUGAUGUAGUUGAUGAGGGGGUGUGAGCAGGUGGGUCUAGACAGGGUGAUGUAGUUGAUGGAGGGGGGGUGAGCAGGUGGGUCUAGACAGGGUGAUGUAGUUGAUGAGGGGGGUUGUGACGUAGUUUGGGUGACGUAGUUUACAAGAAAAAAAGGAAUUCAUAUACCACGUUAAGUCAAAAAAAACAAUUGUCGACCAGAAUAAUCUGGUUUUAAGUCAUGUGAGGAAGAGGGAGCAGAUUGUCUAGAGGUUGUGGUGAAGAUAAUAUGUUACCAUCUUGGCAGGUUGUAGUGAAGUUAAUGUGUUACCAUCUUGGCAGGUUGUGGUGAAGUUAAUGUGUUACCAUCUUGGCAGGUUGUGGUGAAGUUAAUGUCACCAUCUUGGCAGGUUGUGGUGAAGUUAAUAUGUUACCAUCUUGGCAGGUUGUGGUGAAGAUAAUAUGUUACCAUCUUGGCAGGUUGUAGUGAAGUUAAUGUGUUACCAUCUUGGCAGGUUGUGGUGAAGUUAAUGUGUUACCAUCUUGGCAGGUUGUAGUGAAGUUAAUAUGUCACCAUCUUGGCAGGUUGUAGUGAAGUUAAUAUGUUACCAUCUUGGCAGAUUGUAGUGAAGUUAAAGUGUUACCAUCUUGGCAGGUUGUAGUGAAGUUAAUGUGUCACCAUCUUGGCAGGUUGUAGUGAAGUUAAAGUGUUACCAUCUUGGCAGGUUGUAGUGAAGUUAAUGUGUCACCAUCUUGGCAGGUUGAAGUGAAGUUAAUGUGUCACCAUCUUGGCAGGUUGUAGUGAAGUUAAAGUGUUACCAUCUUGGCAGGUUGUAGUGAAGUUAAUGUGUCACCAUCUUGGCAGGUUGUAGUGAAGUUAAUGUGUCACCAUCUUGGCAGGUUGUAGUGAAGUUAAUGUGUCACCAUCUUGGCAGGUUGUAGUGAAGUUAAUGUGUCACCAUCUUGGCAGCCUCUGCCUCUCCCUCUGCCAGAAUAAUCUGGUUUUAAGUCAUGUGAGGAAGAGGGAGCAGAUU